UGAAGUCUCGGAGCCGGGUGUUGGUUCCGGUAGCGAUCGAGGGAAAUUAGUACCGAAGUCCGGGAUGGAAGAUGGCGAGAAAAGCUGUGUGUAUUUCUGCGGUGCCCGUACCGCAAACCGACACAGGUAGGUAGGAAGAAGAUUCUAAGGCCAACGGGAGAAGGGUUGUUAAGGAACUCGGCAAAUUGACCCCGUAACUUCGGGAGAAGGGGUGCUGCAGCAAUGCAGCCGCAGAGAAUCGGCCCAAGCAACUGUUUACCAAAAACACAGGUUUGUGCUAAAUCGAAAGAUGACGUAUACGAGCUGACGCCUGCCCGGUGCUGGAAGGUUAAGAGGAGAUGUGCAAGCAUUGAAUCGAAGCCCCAGUGAACGGCGGCCGUAACUAUAACGGUCCUAAGGUAGCGAAAUUCCUUGUCAGGUAAGUUCUGACCCGCAUGAAAGGCGUAAUGAUUUGGGCACUGUCUCAACAGCCCGCCCGGCGAAAUUGUAGUACCGGUGAAGAUGCCGGUUACCCGCGACAAGACGGAAAGACCCCAUGGAGCUUUACUGUAGCCUAAUAUUGGGUUUCGAUGUUGCAUGCACAGGAUAGAUGGGACACUGGGAAGCAGGUGCUUUGGCGCUUGUGGAGUGGCCGUUGGGAUACCAUCCUUGCGAUAUUGGAAUUCUAACCUGCGCCUUUGAGUCAAGGCGGGGGACAUUGUUAGGUGGGCAGUUUGACUGGGGCGGUCGCCUCCUAAAGAGUAACGGAGGCGUUCAAAGGUUCGCUCAGCUUGAACGGAAAUCAAGCAAAAGAGUGCAAACGCAGAAGCGAGCCUAACUGCGAGACUGACGGGUCGAGCAGUAACGAAAGUUGGAGUUAGUGAUCCGGUGGUAUGUGAGUGGAAAUGCCAUCGCUCAACGGAUAAAAGUUACCCUGGGGAUAACAGGCUGAUCUCCCCCAAGAGUCCACAUCGACGGGGAGGUUUGGCACCUCGAUGUCGGCUCAUCGCAUCCUGGGGCUGUAUUCGGUCCCAAGGGUUUGGCUGUUCGCCAAUUAAAGCGGUACGCGAGCUGGGUUCAGAACGUCGUGAGACAGUUCGGUCCCUAUCUGUCGUGGGCGCAGGAUAUUUGAUGGGAGCUGUUCCUAGUACGAGAGGACCGGAGCGGACGUACCUCUGGCGCACCAGUUGUUCUGCCAAGAGCAUAGCUGGGCAACUAUGUACGGAUCGGAUAAACGCUGAAAGCAUCUAAGCGUGAAGCCGACCCAAGGAUAAGAUAUCCCAUUGUUUCAAACAAGUAAGACCCCUUGAAGACUACAAGGUUGAUAGGCACGAUGUGUAAGUGGAGCGAUCCAUUCAGCAAGCGUGUACUAAUAGGUCGAGGGCUUGACCU
This 1371-nucleotide ribosomal RNA is filed under the name metagenome. RNAcentral's name for it is "bacterial LSU rRNA". It matches the Rfam family "Bacterial large subunit ribosomal RNA", at positions 1482 to 2925 of the family's 2925-position model. The record is from RNAcentral.